UACGUAGGAUGCGAGCGUUGUCCGGAAUUAUUGGGCGUAAAGAGCUCGUAGGCGGUUUGUCGCGUCGGCCGUGAAAUCUCCACGCUUAACGUGGAGCGUGCGGUCGAUACGGGCAGACUUGAGUUCGGUAGGGGAGACUGGAAUUCCUGGUGUAGCGGUGAAAUGCGCAGAUAUCAGGAGGAACACCGGUGGCGAAGGCGGGUCUCUGGGCCGAUACUGACGCUGAGGAGCGAAAGCGUGGGGAGCGAACAGG
Molecule: ribosomal RNA, 253 nt
Filed under: uncultured bacterium
Lineage: Bacteria
Description: partial 16S ribosomal RNA
Rfam family: Bacterial small subunit ribosomal RNA
Source: RNAcentral